This 242-nucleotide ribosomal RNA is filed under the name uncultured bacterium. Its description in RNAcentral is "partial 16S ribosomal RNA". It matches the Rfam family "Bacterial small subunit ribosomal RNA", at positions 524 to 765 of the family's 1533-position model. The record is from RNAcentral.
UACGAAGGGGGCUAGCGUUGUUCGGAUUUACUGGGCGUAAAGCGCACGUAGGCGGAUUGUUAAGUCAGGGGUGAAAUCCUGGAGCUCAACUCCAGAACUGCCUUUGAUACUGGCAAUCUUGAGUCCGGAAGAGGUGAGUGGAACUCCUAGUGUAGAGGUGGAAUUCGUAGAUAUUAGGAAGAACACCAGUGGCGAAGGCGGCUCACUGGUCCGGUACUGACGCUGAGGUGCGAAAGCGUGGG